AAAGCGUGCGCAGGCGGUUUUGUAAGUCUGACGUGAAAUCCCCGGGCUCAACCUGGGAAUUGCGUUGGAGACUGCAAGGCUAGAAUCUGGCAGAGGGGGGUAGAAUUCCACGUGUAGCAGUGAAAUGCGUAGAGAUGUGGAGGAACACCGAUGGCGAAGGCAGCCCCCUGGGUCAAGAUUGACGCUCAUGCACGAAAGCGUGGGGAGCAAACAGGAUUAGAUACCCCUGU
Molecule: ribosomal RNA, 230 nt
Filed under: uncultured bacterium
Lineage: Bacteria
Description: partial 16S ribosomal RNA
Rfam family: Bacterial small subunit ribosomal RNA
Source: RNAcentral